This 492-nucleotide ribosomal RNA is filed under the name uncultured bacterium. RNAcentral describes it as "partial 16S ribosomal RNA". It matches the Rfam family "Bacterial small subunit ribosomal RNA", at positions 30 to 507 of the family's 1533-position model. The record is from RNAcentral.
AGUGAACGCUGGCGGUAUGCCUAACACAUGCAAGUCGAACGGAAGCACAGUAAUAGUUUGCGGUUCCGGGUGGGGGGUGGGGGACGGGUGAGGAAAACAUCGGAACCUUCUUUUUGGGGGGGGUUAAGGAAGGGGAAGUUACUCUAAUACCGCAUCCGACCUAGGGGGGAAGGCGGGGGAUCUUCGGGCCUGGUGGGGUUGAAUGAGCGGAUGCCGAAUUAGUUGGUGGGGGGGGGAAAGGCCAACCAAGGCGAGGAUCGGUAGCUGGUCUGAGAGGCUGGUAGGCCGCACUGGAACGGAGACACGGUCCAGACUCCUACGGGAGGCAGCAGUGGGCAAUAUUGGACAAUGGGCGCAAGCCUGAUCCAGCCAUACCGAGUGGGUGAAGAAGGCCUUCGGGUUGUAAAGCCCUUUUGUUGGGAAAGAAAAGCAGCAGGUUAAUACCACGCUGUUCUGACGGUAACCAAAGAAUAAGCACCGGCUAACUUCGUG